UACGUAGGGGGCAAGCGUUGUCCGGAUUUAUUGGGCGUAAAGAGCUCGUAGGCGGUUCCGUAAGUCGUGAAGUCAAAUCUCUGGGCUCAACCCAGAAUCGCUUCCGAUACUGCGGUGACUGGAGUCCGGUAGGGGAGUGUGGAAUUCCUGGUGUAGCGGUGAAAUGCGCAGAUAUCAGGAGGAACACCGAUGGCGAAGGCAGAUCUCUGGGCAGUAACUGACGCUGAGGAGCGAAAGCGUGGGGAGCGAACAGG
RNAcentral lists this ribosomal RNA (254 nucleotides) under uncultured bacterium. RNAcentral describes it as "partial 16S ribosomal RNA". It matches the Rfam family "Bacterial small subunit ribosomal RNA", at positions 524 to 776 of the family's 1533-position model. The record is from RNAcentral.